Molecule: long non-coding RNA, 1169 nt
Organism: Felis catus (domestic cat)
Lineage: Eukaryota; Metazoa; Chordata; Mammalia; Carnivora; Felidae
Exons: 3
Source: RefSeq, a predicted model, not a curated record
UCCUCGCGGGGUUCCGGCACCUGAACCCCCGCGUCCGCCUCCCGGCCUGGAGGGUUAGUUCCGGGGACCAGCCAGGCUGGGCGCGGCCAGUUUCCAUCCGUCCCCAAAGAAUCCGUAAUAUGCCUCCCAGCCCCCCAAAGGAGGGCAGUGAGUGGAGAAACGCUUGAUACCUGCGAAAAUUCACAGGGCAUUGUCUCCCUUUCCGGGCGCAGGGUAACGCUGACGUCGCUAAGUGACGGGAAACGAAGGGCCCGCCGAGGCAGCCCACCCUUUGGGGACUGAGGGCGAGCCGCGGGCAGCCCCCAUCCCGGCCGGCUGCCAGGAAGGCGGGAACGACUUCCCGGUGUUCGUGGAGAGCAGAAGCGGUUCCCGCGGGGAAAUCGAGGGCGACCCCUCGUUCCUUUUGAACUCACGUCCUGCCCCCGCCCCGCCCAGGUGGUUGGCUAAGGCAGAAUCCUGGUUUCCUAUCUUCCCAACUCGCAUCUCGACCAAUCCGAAGGCAUCAGUUGUAAGGGAAAGCAAGAUCGACACUUCCCGAUACGCUGAAGCCCUUCAAAUACCACAAACCCAACGCCUUCCGUGCCACGGCACUGUUCCCGACCGCCGAGCAGUGGACACAGCCCAACUCCCGCGCACAGAUGAACGGACACACCGAAUGUGGUAGGUGAACACACAGCAACAUUGCUUGGCCAUGAAAGUGAUGAGGUUCUGAUACAUGUUACAACAUGGAUGAGCCUCAACAUCAGGCUAAGUGAAAUAAAGGACAUGAACAAGACGAAGAAGGACAAAUGGUGUAGUAUGAUUCCACUUACAUAAAGUAUCUAGAAUGGACAAAUUCCUAGCGAUAGAAAGGAGGGUGGUCACCAGAAGCUGUGGGGCAAGGAGGAACACUUAUGGUUACAGAGUUUCUGUUUGGGGUGACGAAAAGGUUUUUGAAGUAGACAGUGGUGACAGCUGCUCUACACUGUGGAUGUGAUAAUGCCACCAAAUUACAUAUUUUUAAAUGGCUUAAAUAGCAGUUAUCAUGUUAAAUAUACUUAUCACAUAUGUAGAGAAAAACGAUGAACAAAUGGCCGGGUUUUACUUAAGAUUUCCCAUUGAUUAGGGGAGAUUACAGAUUCAGUAUACGAAAGAAAUACAAUUGUAGACGAUAAACUCAUAUUUUCCUU